CCCUUAGAUGUUCUGGGCCGCACGCGCGCUACACUGAUGCAUUCAACGAGCCUAUCCUUGACCGACAGGUCCGGGUAAUCUUUGAAUCUGCAUCGUGACGGGGAUAGAUUAUUGCAAUUAUUAAUCUUCAACGAGGAAUGCCUAGUAGGCGCAAGUCAUCAGCUUGCGUCGAUUACGUCCCUGCCCUUUGUACACACCGCCCGUCGCUCCUACCGAUUGGGUGUGCUGGUGAAAUGUUCGGAUCGGCCGUUUGUCGCGGUUUCCGCGUCAUGUGGCUGGGAAGUUCAUUAACCCCUCCCACCUAGAGGAAGGAGAAGUCGUAACA
Molecule: ribosomal RNA, 325 nt
Filed under: uncultured eukaryote
Lineage: Eukaryota
Description: partial 18S ribosomal RNA
Rfam family: Eukaryotic small subunit ribosomal RNA
Source: RNAcentral